Etheostoma cragini (Arkansas darter) is the source of this 216-nucleotide long non-coding RNA. RefSeq lists it as uncharacterized. The transcript is spliced from 3 exons. The record is from RefSeq and is a predicted model, not a curated record. NCBI's taxonomy places the organism in Eukaryota, Metazoa, Chordata, Actinopteri, Perciformes, Percidae.
ACAUUUCAUCACACAGUUUUACAGUGAAACACCAACUUAAGACAUAACAGGUUUAUUCCAACCAGACCAGAGUAGUGAAUGUUGGAACAGUGGAAAGACAAACAAAAACAGCUUUUGGUAGUUCUAUUUAGUUUCCGUCCACAUUGAAUGAAGUGUGUUUUACGACGCUAAACUAGUGAUUAUUUAAAUGGAGUCUGGUGGAGAUAUGCUGCUCUA